AUUGAACGCUGGCGGCAUGCCUUACACAUGCAAGUCGAACGGCAGCACGGGUGUUUGCACCUGGUGGCGAGUGGCGAACGGGUGAGUAAUACAUCGGAACAUGUCCUGUAGUGGGGGAUAGCCCGGCGAAAGCCGGAUUAAUACCGCAUACGAUCUACGGAUGAAAGCGGGGGACCCUCGGGCCUCGCGCUUUAGGGUUGGCCGAUGGCUGAUUAGCUAGUUGGUGGGGUAAAGGCCUACCAAGGCGACGAUCAGUAGCUGGUCUGAGAGGACGACCAGCCACACUGGGACUGAGACACGGCCCAGACUCCUACGGGAGGCAGCAGUGGGGAAUUUUGGACGAUGGGCGAAAGCCUGAUCCAGCAAUGCCGCGUGUGUGAAGAAGGCCUUCGGGUUGUAAAGCACUUUUGUCCGGAAAGAAAUCCUUGGCCCUAAUACGGUCGGGGGAUGACGGUACCGGAAGAAUAAGCACCGGCUAACUACGUG
This 486-nucleotide ribosomal RNA is filed under the name uncultured bacterium. RNAcentral describes it as "partial 16S ribosomal RNA". It matches the Rfam family "Bacterial small subunit ribosomal RNA", at positions 30 to 507 of the family's 1533-position model. The record is from RNAcentral.